Small nuclear RNA from Dama dama (fallow deer), 122 nucleotides. Lineage: Eukaryota; Metazoa; Chordata; Mammalia; Artiodactyla; Cervidae. The record is from RefSeq and is a predicted model, not a curated record.
GUGUUGUAUGAAAGGAGAGAAGGUUAGCCCUCCCCUUGACAAGGAUGGAAGAGACUCUCAGGCCUGACAACAUGCAUGCAGUUGAGGCAUUUCCACCUACUUUGUGACAUCUAAUCUCUGUU